Molecule: small nuclear RNA, 186 nt
Organism: Gigantopelta aegis
Lineage: Eukaryota; Metazoa; Mollusca; Gastropoda; Neomphalida; Peltospiridae
Product: U2 spliceosomal RNA
Exons: 1
Source: RefSeq, a predicted model, not a curated record
AAAUCCAGCCUUUGGCUAAGAUGAGAGCGCAGUAUCGGUUAUAGUCAGCUUAAUAUCUGAUACGUCGUCCUAUUGGGGAGACACCGAUAAUUACGACUGAUUUGAAAGGGGGUGAGGUGCCGGGGCUUGCUCCGCCCUCAUACACAGGUUGACCCGUAUUGCGAGUACAGAGGGAACAAAACCACA